This 551-nucleotide ribosomal RNA is filed under the name uncultured bacterium. RNAcentral's name for it is "bacterial SSU rRNA". It matches the Rfam family "Bacterial small subunit ribosomal RNA", at positions 77 to 644 of the family's 1533-position model. The record is from RNAcentral.
CUUAUAACAAUGGCUUUAGUGGUGGACUGGUGAGUAACACGUGAGCAACCUGCCUAUCAGAGGGGAAUAACAGUGAGAAAUCAUUGCUAAUACCGCAUAUGCCAUAAAUAUCACAUGAUGAAAGUGGGAAAGGAGUAAUCCGCUGAUAGAUGGGCUCGCGUCUGAUUAGAUAGUUGGUGGGGUAACGGCCUACCAAGUCGACGAUCAGUAGCCGGACUGAGAGGUUGAACGGCCACAUUGGGACUGAGAUACGGCCCAGACUCCUACGGGAGGCAGCAGUCGGGAAUAUUGCGCAAUGGAGGAAACUCUGACGCAGUGACGCCGCGUAUAGGAAGAAGGUUUUCGGAUUGUAAACUAUUGUCGUUAGGGAAGAUACAAGACAGUACCUAAGGAGGAAGCUCCGGCUAACUACGUGCCAGCAGCCGCGGUAAUACGUAGGGAGCAAGCGUUAUCCGGAUUUAUUGGGUGUAAAGGGUGCGUAGACGGGAAAGCAAGUUAGUUGUGAAAUCCCUCGGCUUACUGAGGAACUGCAACUAAAACUACUUUUCUUG